This 497-nucleotide ribosomal RNA is filed under the name uncultured bacterium. RNAcentral describes it as "partial 16S ribosomal RNA". It matches the Rfam family "Bacterial small subunit ribosomal RNA", at positions 28 to 507 of the family's 1533-position model. The record is from RNAcentral.
GAUGAACGCUGGCGGCGUGCCUAAUACAUGCAAGUCGAGCGAACAGACGAGGAGCUUGCUCCUCUGACGUUAGCGGCGGACGGGUGAGUAACACGUGGAUAACCUACCUAUAAGACUGGGAUAACUUCGGGAAACCGGAGCUAAUACCGGAUAAUAUAUUGAACCGCAUGGUUCAAUAGUGAAAGACGGUUUUGCUGUCACUUAUAGAUGGAUCCGCGCGGCAUUAGCUAGUUGGUAAGGUAACGGCUUACCAAGGCAACGAUGCGUAGCCGACCUGAGAGGGUGAUCGGCAACACUGGAACUGAGACACGGUCCAGACUCCUACGGGAGGCAGCAGUAGGGAAUCUUCCGCAAUGGGCGAAAGCCUGACGGAGCAACGCCGCGUGAGUGAUGAAGGUCUUCGGAUCGUAAAACUCUGUUAUUAGGGAAGAACAAAUGUGUAAGUAACUAUGCACGUCUUGACGGUACCUAAUCAGAAAGCCACGGCUAACUACGUG